Molecule: transfer RNA, 66 nt
Filed under: Euryhaliotrema johni
Lineage: Eukaryota; Metazoa; Platyhelminthes; Monogenea; Dactylogyridea; Ancyrocephalidae
Description: tRNA-Phe
Source: RNAcentral
UUUUUUUUAGCUUAAGUUUUAGAGCAUUAGUUUGAAGGACUAGGGGUACUGUCAAAGUGAAGGAGU